CUUCGGUGUCAGUGGCGGACGGGUGAGUAACACGUAAGUAACCUGCCCAGAAGUGGGGAAUAACUUGCCGAAAGGCGAGCUAAUACCGCAUGUGAUGGUCUUUCCCUGGAGAGGUCAUAAAAGGCGAAAGUCGCUUCUGGAGGGGCUUGCGGCCGAUUAGCUAGUUGGUGGGGUAAUGGCCUACCAAGGCUGCGAUCGGUAGCUGGUCUGAGAGGACGGACAGCCACACGGGGACUGAGAUACGGCCCCGACUCCUACGGGAGGCAGCAGCUAGGAAUCUUGGGAAUGGGCGAAAGCCUGACCCAGCAACGCCGCGUGGGCGAUGAAGGCCUUCGGGUUGUAAAGCCCUUUUGCAGGGGAAGAUGAUGACGGUACCCUGCGAAUAAGCCACGGCUAACUACGUGCCAGCAGCCGCGGUAAUACGUAGGUGGCGAGCGUUGUCCGGAUUUACUGGGCGUAAAGGGCGUGCAGGCGGUCUGCUAAGUCUAGGGUGAAAGCUCCCGGCUCAACUGGGAGAGGUCCUUGGAUACUGACGGACUUGAGGGAGGCAGAGGAGAAUGGAAUUCCCGGUGUAGUGGUGAUAUGCGUAGAUAUCGGGAGGAACACCAGUGGCGAAGGCGGUUCUCUGGGCCUUACCUGACGCUGAGACGCGAAAGCGUGGGGAGCGAACCGGAUUAGAUACCCGGGUAGUCCACGCCGUAAACGAUGGACACU
This 714-nucleotide ribosomal RNA is filed under the name uncultured Chloroflexota bacterium. RNAcentral describes it as "bacterial SSU rRNA". It matches the Rfam family "Bacterial small subunit ribosomal RNA", at positions 84 to 817 of the family's 1533-position model. Lineage: Bacteria; Bacillati; Chloroflexota. The record is from RNAcentral.